RNAcentral lists this ribosomal RNA (1542 nucleotides) under Escherichia coli. Its description in RNAcentral is "bacterial SSU rRNA". It matches the Rfam family "Bacterial small subunit ribosomal RNA". RNAcentral also lists the same sequence under 1 other name. Lineage: Bacteria; Pseudomonadati; Pseudomonadota; Gammaproteobacteria; Enterobacterales; Enterobacteriaceae. The record is from RNAcentral.
AAAUUGAAGAGUUUGAUCAUGGCUCAGAUUGAACGCUGGCGGCAGGCCUAACACAUGCAAGUCGAACGGUAACAGGAAACAGCUUGCUGUUUCGCUGACGAGUGGCGGACGGGUGAGUAAUGUCUGGGAAACUGCCCGAUGGAGGGGGAUAACUACUGGAAACGGUAGCUAAUACCGCAUAACGUCGCAAGACCAAAGAGGGGGACCUUAGGGCCUCUUGCCAUCGGAUGUGCCCAGAUGGGAUUAGCUAGUAGGUGGGGUAAAGGCUCACCUAGGCGACGAUCCCUAGCUGGUCUGAGAGGAUGACCAGCCACACUGGAACUGAGACACGGUCCAGACUCCUACGGGAGGCAGCAGUGGGGAAUAUUGCACAAUGGGCGCAAGCCUGAUGCAGCCAUGCCGCGUGUAUGAAGAAGGCCUUCGGGUUGUAAAGUACUUUCAGCGGGGAGGAAGGGAGUAAAGUUAAUACCUUUGCUCAUUGACGUUACCCGCAGAAGAAGCACCGGCUAACUCCGUGCCAGCAGCCGCGGUAAUACGGAGGGUGCAAGCGUUAAUCGGAAUUACUGGGCGUAAAGCGCACGCAGGCGGUUUGUUAAGUCAGAUGUGAAAUCCCCGGGCUCAACCUGGGAACUGCAUCUGAUACUGGCAAGCUUGAGUCUCGUAGAGGGGGGUAGAAUUCCAGGUGUAGCGGUGAAAUGCGUAGAGAUCUGGAGGAAUACCGGUGGCGAAGGCGGCCCCCUGGACGAAGACUGACGCUCAGGUGCGAAAGCGUGGGGAGCAAACAGGAUUAGAUACCCUGGUAGUCCACGCCGUAAACGAUGUCGACUUGGAGGUUGUGCCCUUGAGGCGUGGCUUCCGGAGCUAACGCGUUAAGUCGACCGCCUGGGGAGUACGGCCGCAAGGUUAAAACUCAAAUGAAUUGACGGGGGCCCGCACAAGCGGUGGAGCAUGUGGUUUAAUUCGAUGCAACGCGAAGAACCUUACCUGGUCUUGACAUCCACGGAAGUUUUCAGAGAUGAGAAUGUGCCUUCGGGAACCGUGAGACAGGUGCUGCAUGGCUGUCGUCAGCUCGUGUUGUGAAAUGUUGGGUUAAGUCCCGCAACGAGCGCAACCCUUAUCCUUUGUUGCCAGCGGUCCGGCCGGGAACUCAAAGGAGACUGCCAGUGAUAAACUGGAGGAAGGUGGGGAUGACGUCAAGUCAUCAUGGCCCUUACGACCAGGGCUACACACGUGCUACAAUGGCGCAUACAAAGAGAAGCGACCUCGCGAGAGCAAGCGGACCUCAUAAAGUGCGUCGUAGUCCGGAUUGGAGUCUGCAACUCGACUCCAUGAAGUCGGAAUCGCUAGUAAUCGUGGAUCAGAAUGCCACGGUGAAUACGUUCCCGGGCCUUGUACACACCGCCCGUCACACCAUGGGAGUGGGUUGCAAAAGAAGUAGGUAGCUUAACCUUCGGGAGGGCGCUUACCACUUUGUGAUUCAUGACUGGGGUGAAGUCGUAACAAGGUAACCGUAGGGGAACCUGCGGUUGGAUCACCUCCUUA